GACGAACGCUGGCGGCGUGCUUAACACAUGCAAGUCGAACGGAAAGGCCCUGCUUUUGUGGGGUGCUCGAGUGGCGAACGGGUGAGUAACACGUGAGUAACCUGCCCUUGACUUUGGGAUAACUUCAGGAAACUGGGGCUAAUACCGGAUAGGAGCUCCUGCUGCAUGGUGGGGGUUGGAAAGUUUCGGCGGUUGGGGAUGGACUCGCGGCUUAUCAGCUUGUUGGUGGGGUAGUGGCUUACCAAGGCUUUGACGGGUAGCCGGCCUGAGAGGGUGACCGGCCACAUUGGGACUGAGAUACGGACCAGACUCCUACGGGAGGCAGCAGGGGGGAAUAUGGCACAAUGGGCGGAAGCCUGAUGCAGCAACGCCGCGUGUGGGAUGACGGCCUUCGGGGUGUAAACCGCUUUAGCCUGUGACGAAGCGUGAGUGACGGUAAUGGGUAAAGAAGCACCGGCUAACUACGUG
Molecule: ribosomal RNA, 468 nt
Filed under: uncultured bacterium
Lineage: Bacteria
Description: partial 16S ribosomal RNA
Rfam family: Bacterial small subunit ribosomal RNA
Source: RNAcentral